GUGGGGAAUCUUCCGCAAUGGACGAAAGUCUGACGGAGCAACGCCGCGUGAGUGAAGAAGGUUUUCGGAUCGUAAAGCUCUGUUGUUUGAGACGAAUGUGCAGACUUUGAAUAAGGGUUUGUAAUGACGGUAUUAAACGAGAAAGCCACGGCUAACUACGUGCCAGCAGCCGCGGUAAUACGUAGGUGGCAAGCGUUGUCCGGAAUUAUUGGGCGUAAAGGGAGCGCAGGUGGGAAUGUAAGUCAGUCUUAAAAGUGCGGGGCUCAACCCCGUGAGGGGAUUGAAACUACAUUUCUUGAGUGCAGGAGAGGAAAGUGGAAUUCCUAGUGUAGCGGUGAAAUGCGUAGAGAUUAGGAGGAACACCAGUGGCGAAGGCGACUUUCUGGACUGUAACUGACACUGAGGCUCGAAAGCCAGGGGAGCGAACGGGAUUAGAUACCCCUGUAGUCC
Molecule: ribosomal RNA, 450 nt
Filed under: uncultured bacterium
Lineage: Bacteria
Description: partial 16S ribosomal RNA
Rfam family: Bacterial small subunit ribosomal RNA
Source: RNAcentral